UUUGCCUGGUCAUACCAAAGUUUUAUGAAAUUUGGUCCAGUCUUUAUGUUUUCGCUAUCUAACUUAUAAGAAUAAUAUAUAUGUUUAGUAACAGUCAGUCAACAAAUUACGGCAUUACUUUAUUAUAAUAAAUAGUUAUUUUAUUUUAUAUAAUUAAUAUAAAUAAAAAUAAUUAAAUUUUUUUUUAGCUAAAAGGCUAAGGUUACUCUUAUUACAUCAUCUGUCUGUUCGUGAGUUCAGUCAUAAUCAGACUAGCUGCUUUAAUAAAAAAAAAAAAUGUCUUUAUACCAUGGAAACAUCCAAAUACAUGUUUGAUCAUAUCAACAGUUACUCACCUCUCAGGCCCAGUUCCUCGCUAGCUCGCUGAGUUGAACUUAUAACACCCGCAGUCACUGUGUUACUCAGAGCCAGAGGACUACCCAUCGCUACCACCUAUAACAUUAAAAAGGCAUCUCUAAUAAAGUUAGCAGAAUGAAACGAAAUCAAGACUUCUGAUACACUUAUAGACAAAAUACACAUAGAGAAGAGAGAGACAACAGAUGGCAAAAAAAAAACAUUCAAUACAUCAUAGCAUCAACACAGUUAAAGGUAACCAAAAUAAUCAAGAAACAUGCUUCACUUCAUACUAAAAGGAUUACAAGAUUUGAAUACCUAUUCCGAUAGGGCCAAGUGUCUCAAAAGCACUGGCCAACAAGCUUGUCUGAAAAAGACAAAGAACCCAUAGAAAAUACAGAUAUCUCCAGAAUAUUAAUAUGUAGUAAGACUAAUGGAAAAAUUGAUAAAUCAUCAAAUAUUAAGCUUUUGCAAGACUAUAAUAUACCUUUAUUAAAAAAUAUAUAUUUCACAGACUAAAAACCACUGUAUGAUACAGAUCAUCAUUUAAAUGAAACCUUUUUUACUAUUAUAUAGUUGCCAGUGCAAUAUAUUCCUCUAGAUACAACAAUAUUGAGUUAAAAUUGUAAUUAAAAUUUAGUUUGGAGACAGAAUGAUAAAUUCACCAACACAAGCAGAACACCACAAGUAUUUCCUAUUGAAUACAUACUUAUAGAGCUGAAUAUAGAAAUUGUUUUAUGGAGAGGUGGAGGAACAUCAGGAGAGAUGUUCGAAGUGUAUUACAGAGGAUGAGAUUUGAGUCGCAAAGAAAAGGAGUGACAGGAUGUAUGGACCUUUGAAAGUAUAUAGCGUUGACCCCAAGGACCUCGGGACGAAGGCACUAGAAAAAAGUCUAUUAUAUUGGUGUUGUGUAUUAGUUAUACUUGCUCAGUAUUGUUAAAUAAUAUUAUGUUGUCAAGUAUGUAGAUAGAUCACUUUAAUAUGUCUGUCUUGUUAACACAAUGCGGAUAUUAUUAAUCAAAUAUAGUUUUAUUGAAUGCA
Danaus plexippus (monarch butterfly) is the source of this 1374-nucleotide long non-coding RNA. RefSeq lists it as uncharacterized. NCBI's taxonomy places the organism in Eukaryota, Metazoa, Arthropoda, Insecta, Lepidoptera, Nymphalidae. The transcript has 2 exons. The record is from RefSeq and is a predicted model, not a curated record.